Molecule: ribosomal RNA, 827 nt
Filed under: uncultured bacterium
Lineage: Bacteria
Description: bacterial SSU rRNA
Rfam family: Bacterial small subunit ribosomal RNA
Source: RNAcentral
AGUCGAGCGGCAGCGCAGCAGUAGCAAUACUGUGGGCGGCGAGCGGCGGACGGGUGAGGAAUGCAUCGGAAUCUACCCUGAUGUGGGGGAUAACGUAGGGAAACUUACGCUAAUACCGCAUACGACCUACGGGUGAAAGCGGGGGACCUUCGGGCCUCGCGCAGCAGGAUGAGCCGAUGCCGGAUUAGCUAGUUGGUGGGGUAACGGCCCACCAAGGCGACGAUCCGUAGCUGGUCUGAGAGGAUGAUCAGCCACACUGGGACUGAGACACGGCCCAGACUCCUACGGGAGGCAGCAGUGGGGAAUAUUGGACAAUGGGGGCAACCCUGAUCCAGCCAUGCCGCGUGUGUGAAGAAGGCCUUCGGGUUGUAAAGCACUUUUGUACGGGAAGAAAUCGUUUGGGAUAAUACCCUGAGCGGAUGACGGUACCGUAAGAAUAAGCACCGGCUAACUUCGUGCCAGCAGCCGCGGUAAUACGAAGGGUGCAAGCGUUACUCGGAAUUACUGGGCGUAAAGCGUGCGUAGGCGGUUUGUUAAGUCAGAUGUGAAAGCCCCGGGCUCAACCUGGGAAUGGCAUUUGAUACUGGCGAGCUAGAGUACGGUAGAGGGUGGUGGAAUUCCCGGUGUAGCGGUGAAAUGCGUAGAGAUCGGGAGGAACAUCUGUGGCGAAGGCGGCCACCUGGACCAGUACUGACGCUGAGGCACGAAAGCGUGGGGAGCAACAGGAUUAGAUACCCUGGUAGUCCACGCCCCUAAACGAUGCGACUGGACGUUGGGCUCAAUUGAGAGUUCAGUGUCGAGCUACGCGUUCAGUUCGCCGCCUGGGG